GUCGCUGUAAUACGGAAAAGUUACUACGCUGCUGUGGGACUUGUGCUCGCUCCGCCGGGAGGCCGAGGGCGUCUUUAGUUCGUUAACAGAGGAGCAGAAGGAGGCGGGUGGAAUUUAGGAGGUCCCAGCAGGCAGCUGAUUGUUUAGAUGGAGAGACCACAGGGGAGAGUUACCCGUUGCUGUGGGAGCAAUGAGGAGUAAUGGAGGAAAGGAGAGGAACCAAGACCAGGUCUGUGCCUUGUGACCCAGAGGCAGCCUUGGGAGGGG
Molecule: long non-coding RNA, 267 nt
Filed under: Pan troglodytes (chimpanzee)
Lineage: Eukaryota; Metazoa; Chordata; Mammalia; Primates; Hominidae
Description: long non-coding RNA NONPTRT009901
Source: RNAcentral